AGGACGAACGCUGGCGGCGUGCCUAACACAUGCAAGUGGAGCGACGAACCAGGCUUCGGCCUGGGGCAAAGCCGCGAACGGGUGAGUAACACGUGGGUAACCUGCCCUGAUGAUUGGGACAACCCGAGGAAACUCGGGCUAAUACCAAAUGUGACCUUCGGCCAUAAGGCCGCUGGGGAAAGGAAGCUUCGGCCUCCGCAUCGGGAUGGGCCCGCGGCCCAUUAGCUUGUUGGUGAGGUAACGGCUCACCAAGGCUACGAUGGGUAGCUGGUCUGAGAGGACGAUCAGCCACACUGGGACUGAGACACGGCCCAGACUCCUACGGGAGGCAGCAGUGGGGGAAUCUUGCGCAAUGCGCGAAAGCGUGACGCAGCAACGCCGCGUGGGGGAAGAAGGCUUUCGGGUUGUAAACCCUUUCAGUUGGGACGAAGCUUCGCCGGUGAAUAGCCGGCUGGAGUGACGGUACCUUCAGAAGAAGCCCGGCUAACUACGCGCCAGCAGCCGCGGUAAU
RNAcentral lists this ribosomal RNA (511 nucleotides) under uncultured bacterium. RNAcentral describes it as "SSU rRNA". It matches the Rfam family "Bacterial small subunit ribosomal RNA", at positions 26 to 524 of the family's 1533-position model. The record is from RNAcentral.